Molecule: ribosomal RNA, 492 nt
Filed under: soil fungal sp. DM252
Lineage: Eukaryota; Fungi
Description: eukaryotic LSU rRNA
Rfam family: Eukaryotic large subunit ribosomal RNA
Source: RNAcentral
UUGUAAUUUGUAGAGGAUGCUUUUGGCGCGGUGCCUUCCGAGUUCCCUGGAACGGGACGCCUUAGAGGGUGAGAGCCCCGUACGGUUGGACACCAAGCCUCUGUAAAGCUCCUUCGACGAGUCGAGUAGCUUGGGAAUGCUGCUCUAAAUGGGAGGUAAAUUUCUUCUAAAGCUAAAUAUUGGCCAGAGACCGAUAGCGCACAAGUAGAGUGAUCGAAAGAUGAAAAGCACUUUGAAAAGAGGGUUAAACAGCACGUGAAAUUGUUGAAAGGGAAGCGUUUGCGACCAGACCUUUUCCUAGCGGAUCAUCCGGUGUUCUCACCGGUGCACUUCGCUAGGUUUAGGCCAGCAUCGGUUUCUGUAGGGGGAUAAAAGCUCUGGGAACGUAGCUCCUCCGGGAGUGUUAUAGCCCUCUGCAUAAUACCCUUACGGGGACCGAGGACCGCGCUUCGGCAAGGAUGCUGGCGUAAUGGUCGUCAACGACCCGUCUUG